AUCGAACGCUGGCGGCAGGCCUAACACAUGCAAGUCGAGCGAGCGGCGGACGGGUGCGUAAUGUAUGGGGACUGCCCGUUAGAGGGGGAUAACUACUGGAAACGGUAGCUAAUACCGCAUACUAUCGGAUAACCCAUAUGGGAUUAGCUAGUAGGUGAGGUAAUGGCUCACCUAGGCGACGAUCCCUAGCUGGUCGGAGAGGGUGAUCAGCCACACGGGGACUGAGACACGGCCCAGACUCCUACGGAGGCAGCAGUGGGGAAUAUUGCGCAAUGGGCGCAAGCCUGAUGCAGCCAUGCCGCGUGUAUGAAGAAGGCCCUAGGAUUGUAAAGUACUUUCAGUAGGGAGGCGUUACCGACAGAGGAAGCACCGGCUAACUCCGUGCCAGCAGCCGCGGUAAUUC
This 403-nucleotide ribosomal RNA is filed under the name uncultured bacterium. RNAcentral's name for it is "partial 16S ribosomal RNA". It matches the Rfam family "Bacterial small subunit ribosomal RNA", at positions 30 to 526 of the family's 1533-position model. The record is from RNAcentral.